UCCAUUCAAAAAAAUAAAUGAAAAACCCAAACUUCCUAUAAAGCAAACCCACAAAAAUUUUAGCAAAAAUACUAGAGAAAUAAAACCACAAAUUAAUCCGUAUUCCAAAAUCAAAUUCCACUAAAAUAUCUAGGGAUUCACAAGCAUUACACUCACCUGGAGAACCAAACAUGAACGAAAUAUUGAAUUAUCGUGAUCCUUCUUCAAGGCCAAAAGCUUGAUCCCCUGAACAAAAUAGGGCCCACCCUAGAUCAAGAUCAGGCCUAUACAUAUUCUUGAUGGACUCAUCUGUCUCCCCUUUCAGCCACAAGCCUGCGUCAUAAUCCUCUUUGAGUUUGUCCACUCUCUUUUUAAGCUCAAUCUCAGACCCAUCAAUCCCCAAGACCUUUCUAAAAGCCCUAUGAGAACCAAGGUUUCAAAGAGCUAACCUUUGUUGGAUUUGAAGGCUUGUAAAAGAGUCCCAAUCUUGGCUGAAAAUUUCAAGUUUUUGGCUAGAAAAAUAACCGGAAUAAGGGAAAUAGGAUUUGGAGGAGAAAUGCGGAGGAAUUGGGAUAAGAAAGUGGCAAGGAGUAGAAGAGGUCUUGUAUGAAAUUCUUAGAGAUCAGCCUCUCUUUUUUUUUUCUUUUCGAUCUGUAUUUGGGAGAGAGGUCUCGAACAAUCGGAGGAUAUGUCGAGAGAGAGAGAGAGAGUAUGUGAGAGAGAGGGACCUCGCAUUGAACACUUGGAGGUCAAUUUUUUUUCUCUUCUUACAUGUAAAGAGGGAGCAUAUAUGGGUCCAUGUGUGUGUAAGAGGGAGACUGCACAUCAAACACUUGGAGUCCAUCUUCUUCUUCUUCUUUUCAUAUGUAGAGAGAGCACAUGGGCUCGAGAGAGAGAGAGAGAAAAGGGCAAUACCAUGCUUUAUUUUUGUUUUGGUGGAUU
Molecule: long non-coding RNA, 921 nt
Filed under: Amborella trichopoda
Lineage: Eukaryota; Viridiplantae; Streptophyta; Magnoliopsida; Amborellales; Amborellaceae
Description: long non-coding RNA (ATRI_LNC004732)
Source: RNAcentral